AAACUUUCGUGAGAUCCAGAAUUAGAUGGGCACGUUAUUAUCUCAGAAGGGGAGAUCCUUUGAACGGAGAAGACUAGCCAACAGAGAAGGCUACUUCAGGAUUUACUCUGCAUGCAGUCGAAAAGGCAGGAAGGCAAGCUUCCCAUCGCAGAUGAAUCUCCGUGGAUGUAGAGAGAGCAAAUUGAAAAUCGGUUGGUCAGCUUGUCGGCAGGCAGAGAGAGGAUUUUCCCAAGCACACCAAGGGAAGCCUGUUGCUGCUCUCACAGUUUCUCUGGUCUCUAGAUCCAGUCCGCUCGGCAGGGAGGCUCGAGGAAGAGAUAUUUCGAUGGCGGAACUCGGACGAAAGUUUUGUACCACAGCCGAGAAUCUUGGUUAAUGAUCAUGUCAAUGAUCGGUUGAUCGAUUCUAUCGCGUGAAACAGAUUUAAUCUGGACAAAGAUACUGCGACGGAACACCCACCGAGCGUCCUUUAUUUUAUUGAAAAAUAUGCAAAUCGAUCAUGAGCGAGAUGGAGAGUCCAGAUAGGCGCCUAGAGGCUAUUUAUCUCUAGAUUUAUGACCAUGAUUUAAUCCCUUUUUUUUCUUGCAAUGCGAAUCCUCUGAUUUGUUGACUUUUUCAUUGAAGACAACUCUAAAUAACUGUCUAUGUCUUUGUACUUAAUUAAGUGGAAAGCGAAUAGCGGAUAAAAUACUUAUUAUGUAAUAAUAUAGGUAUAAAGUAAAUAAUGCACAAAAUACUUAAUUAUACAAUAGUGUAUCUA
This 760-nucleotide unclassified non-coding RNA is filed under the name Bombus terrestris (buff-tailed bumblebee). Its description in RNAcentral is "misc RNA ENSBTSG00005028923.1". The record is from RNAcentral. Lineage: Eukaryota; Metazoa; Arthropoda; Insecta; Hymenoptera; Apidae.